CACUGCUGCAUCGUGGCCCUAGCGUCGCCGCUCGCUCGCCCUCAUCCCCCAAUCCCCUAGGCCUCCACUUCUCCGAUUGGGGCGAUUUCAUGGCAAGCGGGCAUAGAUCCGACAUGGGCGCCUCCGCUCCGACGGCCGCUCUGUCCUCUGCGCCUCCACUGCCGCUCUCCUUGUCAGUCGCCAAUGGCCAGGAGGAGGAGGAAGGGUCGGCCGGGCCACCGCUGGUGGCCAUGGCAUCCCAGUGUGCCCCGCCCUUGCCUCCUCGGCCACGCGCCGCCGCGCCGUUCCUCCUCGGCCACACACCGCCGCACGCCCGUCCUCCUCGGUGCGCCGCCCUCACCCCCUCGGUGCGUGCCGCUGCGCGCCCGUGCUUCCUCGCCUCCACGCGCGUCCUGCUGAGACCACAGAGCGAAGAAGCCCCAGCCUCCUGUAGCUGGUCUGCCUCUGACCCUCUCCUCUGCGCUUCCCCUGCGUCGGCCCUGCUCGUAGCUUGGAGGCGGCGGCAUUCUCCGGCAAUGGGGUGCAAGGCGUGCGACAAGCCCAAGCCCAACUACCGCAAGGGCCUGUGGUCGCUGGAGGAGGACCAGAAGCUCCGCGACUACAUUCUCCUCCACGGCCACGGCUGCUGGAGCGCGCUCCCCAUGAAAGCCGGAGGAGUGCUCCUACCUAGCACAGAUGCUCUACGGUAGGGUCAUCAUGGAUGUGGUCACCAAGAGCAGGCAUGCAUCGCAGAUUCACAGUACACAACUCUAAGGUACCAAUGUCAAGAUAGCUGCCAUUCCUUCAAGCGUCGUGGUUCUGACUUCAGAGACCUUUGACUCAAUUGUCCUUGAUGAGUUUUAUGCCCCAUGGUGUGGUCACUGCAAGCAUCUUGCUCCGAUUUAUGAGAAGCUGGCUUCAGUUUUCAAGCAGGACGACAGUGUUGUGAUUGCCAAUCUUGAUGCUGACAAGCACACUGACUUGGAUGAAAAACUGUAAGGACUUCUGCUUACUUUCCGAUGCCAAAGAUUUUUGGAAAUUAGUGUUGAACUCAUUUGAUGCAUUGGUGGGACAACCCUUGGCUGCAAAUGCAGCACAAUCAACUUGAGCUACCUUGGGUUGAGUAUGAUAGUUUUCCAAAGAAUUGGUGUCAGUCAUCAACUGUCUCUCGUGCUGAUUUCUGGCAAGAAGUUCAACAAUGUCCAUGGGGAAGUCGUCUAUCACAUUCUGUUUCUCGUGCACCUUCUGCUUUCCUUUCUUAUUCUUUGGUAUAUUCUUCUUGUGGAGGCCAGACACAUUCUGGAUCUUUUGUUUACCAAGAGAAACCUGUGGUAACGAGAUGAGGGUACAAUAUUUGUAUACAAGCAGAGUAAAUUCAGUACGGAUUUCCUAUUGCUUGCACCAUUGUGUGUGUGUGUAUAUAUAUAUAGUUUAUAAAGAAGUAAAUGUCAUUUGGGAUUCGCUAAUUUGCUCAUGACAUCCCAAACUAGUCACACACAAAUAACUAGUUCAGUUGGCAUGCGUGCAAACUUGUGAACUCAAAUGUCAUAAAAAGUGUCAAAAAAUCCUAGUGGUGUACACAACGGAAAGCAUGGAUGGUAUGGGAGCAAAGUGGCAUAGACACAAAUGCAUUAACAUUAAAGGGAUUAAAAAUCCUAUGCUGGACAAAGGUCCCCAAUUCAAGUCAGCAAAAGUAGGUAAAACACGUAAAUGAAUGUAAUAAUCUAAUUAUAAAUUUUCAGUAGAAUUCUUUAUGUUUAAUCAUACCUUUGCCAAAUAUCUUUGUACAGAGACUUCAGGUUCCUUUUGAGGCAAAUCAUCUGACCUGAGCAUAUCUCUCUUUAUAUUACUGUUCUCAAUGUUCUCAUCAUAGACAACCGAAGUGGACAGUACCUUUCUCUUUAGCAAAAUCGUUGAUUUUUCAUUUGAGAAGAACCUCUGUUUCAAGUUUCUAGAUUCAUUUUCACACAGGCCAUCCAUCUUCUGCAUAUUUUGCUCCAGUUUGUCAUUCUGUGCAUUUCCAUUCCCAUGCUUGGCACUGGUAGUAGAUGAUACAUUUGCCUGGCCCACAUCCCCAACUGAGGGUAGAAAAUCAUGAUGCAUAUCAUUAGAAGCAACUAUAUCUGGGUAAGACCUUGAAAUAGAAGAGGAAUCAAGAUUCUUGUGUUCUGAGUCUUUUUUCUUUGUUCUAACUUCCUUAUUAGUGCUUUUCAGCCAGUUCAUUAGAGAGGAUCCAUCUUCUAACUUGUCUACUCCUGUGUAUUUUGCCUUGUUCUUGACAGCUCUUGACUGGAUUUCGUCCACUUGCUGAUUAGCAGUGUCAUUACCUUUUCCAACCUCAAGGUGCAUUUUUCUUUUACCACCCUCACAGAGAUCAACACUGUUAGUAUGGUCCACUUGAAUGGCAUCUCUAGAAACCCCUACCUGUUCAGAACCUAUGAGUUCUGAUAACAGCCUUGUCUUUUUUGGCUUUCUCUGACAAAAUUUGAGAUCUGAAAUACCAGGCAGUUUAGUAGAUUUAUUCCUUUUCCUCUUACCAUCAGAUUCAACAUUUCUUUUUGACGAUGCUCGGCGUGGACCCAUGUUGCAGACUUGUUUGCUUUUGUGCCCAGAUACUGGUUUACAUACAUUAGGCUCAUUGAGGUCAUCAUUAGCUAUGUUAUUCUAAUCUUCAUUUGGCGCCACACAAGGUUUUAGACUGUGUGGAUUCUGUGUGCCAUUUUCUUCAACAUCAUCAGGUAGAUCGCUGACAUUCUUCGAGACAGCAUUCAAGAUAUUUGCUGACAAAUCAAUACUAUUGGGAGAGGCCUGUAAAACUGAGAAAAUACUGUCAUAUUAGCUUGUUGUAUACAACAAAAAGUAAUAAUUAAGAAUUCAACAUGCUCAGCCAUACCUUCUAUAGAUGGAACCCUCGUAUCAACGAGUGCCUCUGGAACAUUUUCUUCAGCUACUGGAACAUUCAUCGCAGUAAUUGCUUUGUUGCCAGGAGAACUGCAUUUUGAAUUGCAUUUUUGGGCAGUCUUUGAAAGGGUCAAUCGAUCAUUCCCUUGAGAUGAUUGCUGUGUGCAAGAAAACAGUCUUCUGGAAUCAACACUAUUAGGCAAAAUCCGAACAAUUGAAAUAGAGCAGCCAUCAUUCAUUCCAUUCUGCUGCAUAGAAACAUUUUCCGAUGUUGGCCUAUGGCCUGAAACUUCCACACUAUCAAGACAUCUUGAGCAAUCCCAUCGAUGAUACUUCGACACCAAAACUGGGGACGAAUCAUGGUGCUCAUCAUAUUGUGGCUGGUUAUGGAAAAUAUGAGAGCAAAGUUUUGGAUCCUUCUUCUGAAGCAUAGCAACAUAACCCCUGACAAAACCAUCAACCGUCAAUAAGACUUAAGAUAUAUGCAUAGACGAAUCAUCAAAUGUUUGCUCUAGAAAAAAGAAAGAAUCAAAAUCCAAAAGCAUCUUUAAUAAUAUACCUAUGACAAUUUAUAAUAACUAUGUUUGUCCUUUCUUCCAUGUUCACAGCAUCUUUAAUAAUAAUAUACCUCUGCAGAUAUGGUGUUUCUGGUUUCCCUACAUUGAAGUUCUUCCCUAAGCGAAACAAAGCUGGUGAAGAUUAUGAUGGUGGCCGGGACUUGGAUGACUUUGUCAAGUUCAUUAAUGAGAAGUGUGGCACCAGCCGGGAUCCAAAGGGCCACCUGACUUCAGAGGCUAGGCUUGUGCCAAGCUUGAAUCCUCUUGUGAAGGAGUUUCUCAAUGUUGUUGAUGACAAGCGGAAGGAAGUCCUCUCUAAAAUAGAAGAGGAUGUUGCUAAGCUUAGCGGUUCUGCAGCCAAGCAUGGAAAGAUAUAUGUGACAGCUGCAAAGAAGAUCAUGGACAAGGGCUCUGACUACACUAAGAAGGAGACUGAGAGGCUUCACCGCAUGCUGGAGAAGAUUCCAAGUUCACACAGCAGGAGUUGCUAGCUUGCAAGCCGAUUCUUACUCCAAAAUGGGUAGGCUUACGGGUUGUGAAGAUUAUGAUGCUACUGGUUACGCCUAAUCUUUAUGGCAAUUUGGUGGCUAACACGGCUGCAGGUAUUGUUGGAGGGACGGGCAUCAUGCCUGGAGACUUUGUGGCAUAUGGAACUUCUUGGAGCUUUUUGCUAUGGUCUUCAUCAAGUUUUCUACCAAUGACUUAUCUCCCGCUACCCCGACCCGCUCAUCAAGGCCAUCGACACCAUCAAGAUCGAUCUGGAGACCAACAAAAUCAUGGACUUCAUCAAGUUUGACGUCAGCAACGUGGUCAUGGUGACUGGCGGGAGGAACACCGAGCGUGUAGGAGUCAUCAAGAACAGGGAGAAGCACAAGGGCAGCUUUGAGACCAUCCACGUGCUGCUUGGAGCUUUUUGCUAUGUCUAGUUUUCUCCUAUUUGUUGUACAGGAAAACAUAGAAUAGAAUUCAAAUUUGGUGGUC
Zea mays is the source of this 4418-nucleotide RNA transcript. It is a transcript of the gene named protein disulfide isomerase-like 2-1, with no coding region annotated. The transcript has 11 exons. Lineage: Eukaryota; Viridiplantae; Streptophyta; Magnoliopsida; Poales; Poaceae. The record is from RefSeq and is a predicted model, not a curated record.